UACGCAGUGUGCAAGCGUUAGUCGGAAUGACUGGGCGUAAAGCGCGCGUAGGCGGCUUACAAAGUUAGGCGUGAAAGUCCUGGGCUCAACCUGGGGACUGCGUCUAAUACAUGUAGGCUUGAGUGUGAUAGAGGGUCGUGGAAGUUCCAGUGUAGAGGUGAAAUUCGUAGAUAUUGGAAAGAACACCGGUGGCGAAGGCGGCGACCUGGUUCAUUACUGACGCUGAGGAGCGAAAGCGUGGGGAGCAAACAGG
Molecule: ribosomal RNA, 253 nt
Filed under: uncultured bacterium
Lineage: Bacteria
Description: partial 16S ribosomal RNA
Rfam family: Bacterial small subunit ribosomal RNA
Source: RNAcentral